RNAcentral lists this ribosomal RNA (498 nucleotides) under uncultured bacterium. RNAcentral describes it as "partial 16S ribosomal RNA". It matches the Rfam family "Bacterial small subunit ribosomal RNA", at positions 30 to 523 of the family's 1533-position model. The record is from RNAcentral.
AUUGAACGCUGGCGGCAUGCCUUACACAUGCAAGUCGAACGGUAACAGGUCUUCGGAUGCUGACGAGUGGCGAACGGGUGAGUAAUACAUCGGAACGUGCCUAGUAGUGGGGGAUAACUACUCGAAAGAGUGGCUAAUACCGCAUGAGAUCUACGGAUGAAAGCAGGGGAUCGCAAGAACUUGUGCUACUAGAGCGGCCGAUAGCAGAUUAGGUAGUUGGUGGGAUAAAAGCUUACCAAGCCGACGAUCUGUAGCUGGUCUGAGAGGACGAUCAGCCACACUGGGACUGAGACACGGCCCAGACUCCUACGGGAGGCAGCAGUGGGGAAUUUUGGACAAUGGGCGCAAGCCUGAUCCAGCAAUGCCGCGUGCAGGAUGAAGGCCUUCGGGUUGUAAACUGCUUUUGUACGGAACGAAAAGCCCCGGGUUAAUACCCUGGGGUCAUGACGGUACCGUAAGAAUAAGCACCGGCUAACUACGUGCCAGCCGCCGCCGUAA